RNAcentral lists this ribosomal RNA (250 nucleotides) under uncultured bacterium. RNAcentral's name for it is "partial 16S ribosomal RNA". It matches the Rfam family "Bacterial small subunit ribosomal RNA", at positions 100 to 339 of the family's 1533-position model. The record is from RNAcentral.
GCACGGGUGAGUAAUACAUGGGUAAUCUGCCCUAUGGGAUGGGAUAACCAAGAGAAAUUUUGGCUAAUACCGUAUAAGCAGCACUAGAUGAACUAGUGCUGGAAAGGAGGGGACCGCAAGGCCUUCCGCCAAAGGAUGAGCUCAUGUCCCAUUAGCUAGUUGGGGGGGUAACGGCCCACCAAGGCGAAGAUGGGUAGCUGGUCUGAGAGGACGAUCAGCCACACUGGAACUGAGACACGGUCCAGACUCC